AAUGAAAAUGAUUCCCAAGCAAGAAAGUCACACCAAAUGGACGGCAAUGAUGAAGACGAUUAAGUAUUUGACUAAGAAAGUGGCUCGUAAUUUGCUUUAUCGUUUCUUCGUUACACAAACUAUUGGUUGUAUCUGUAAUCUCAUUGAUAAUUUUGUAUACUCUGAUUCAUAUUAAUAAAUUUUUUUAGACGUUAAUAUAUAUAUAUAUAUAUAUUUUGUUUUUUUUCAACCACAUAUUAACUAAAAAUAGAGUUAUUUGUUAGUUAAUAUGUGGUUGAAAAUAUAUAUAUAUAUAUAUAUAUAUAUAUGUAUAUAUAUAUAUAUAUAUAGAGAGAGAGAGAGAGGAUAUACAAACUAAGAAAAGGAAUAGAGGAAGCCAUCAUCGUGCAUCACACUCAAAUAGAAGGAAUAGAGGAAGCCUUCAUGGUGCCACUUCACAAAGCACUCAUGCUUAGCAACAAAAAAAAAGGAUUCAACUUUCUAGCUCAUAAAGCACUAAUGCUCACAUCAGUCAUUGUAAAAAAUUUUCCAGACUCAAGCUAUAAUUACAAGAAACAGAAGUAACAAAGCAACAACAUCUAGGAGAGAAAAGUAACCAGGACCUCCUACUUACCAUGAAUACCAAUAUUUGCUACUAAUUAGUUUUAUUUUUGUUCAGAUUCAUCAUCUGUGGGAAAUCAAUUUGCUUUGACAAUGUCUCAGGUAUACAAAAUUAAUAGCUGAAGCAGCAGCCAUAGAGAUUUUCUUAAAAUCAUCCCAAUACCUAUCUUCUCACCAGCACUCGCUGAAACACUUCCUCUAACCACUGAUCCAGCGUAAACGGCAGCGUUUCUACUCUUCACCGGCGGUAGAGUAAGUUCUGUUCUCCGAGGAAGCAAAUUCGAAUUAACCGGUGGUCGACGAUUCUCUAUACGAAUCAGAGCAGAGAAACCAGGAACCGAUUGAGCCAACGAAGAAGACGACGACCGAUUAUAUGACCCACAUGCGCCGUGGAGAGCCGCCGUCGGUAAACACGGGAGAGAAUCGCCUCUUUCGUCGCCUCUCCACACAAACAAACGCGUGAAAAUAGAAAGAGAUGAGGAGAAGAGAGAGAAUUAUUUUGCCUUUUUAUAUUUCUUCUUCGACCAAUGUACAAACGCCAUGCGUCCGCCUCUUACAGACACUUUUGGCUCUUAAGUAAGAAACGUUUCUUAACAAUAAUAACCAUUUGCCAUUUAAUUAAAUACAUC
Molecule: long non-coding RNA, 1229 nt
Filed under: Arabidopsis lyrata
Lineage: Eukaryota; Viridiplantae; Streptophyta; Magnoliopsida; Brassicales; Brassicaceae
Description: long non-coding RNA (ALYR_LNC000441)
Source: RNAcentral